AUGUUACAAUGUUUUUCUAGACUAUGUGCUGAGUUUCUUAAUACUGGUUAUGGGUACUUGCGUUUCUUUUUGUCAGAUUUCUAUCUCCAGAUGAUGUUGUUAAUUUUGUUGUUUGAAAAGACCACACACCCCAUUUACUUGGCACUGGCCAAGCUGUUUUCAGGUUUGAGCUGGAAUACAAACUCUAUCAAUCAGUGUUGGCAACAGCUGCAUUUGACAAGUCCCUGUCCGCCAGGCUUAAGCCCUCCAACUGUCUGUGGAGACUCCUCCCCGUCUGCCACCUCACUCCUCGCCCAGCCACGCUCUGCGGCCUCACCCGCUGCUUCCUGCUGGUUGAUGUCUAUACAGACGUGGACAGACUGAGUUCUUCAGGCAUGUCAGGCUGUUUCACAUACACAAGAUUAAGUAGCAAAAGUGACAUCCAAGACCAAUCGGGCCACCCAGGAGAACUGCAACCAGCGGAAAGGCUGUCAGAGCCCCCCUUUACACCAUUAAUCUUCAAGCUUCUCCUGUGCUGCCAACUCGCAUCUCCUUCAAACGGGACAGGAGAGUGAGAGAGGGAGGGAAAUGGAGAAAAGUAAAGCCACUCUGUUUUUCUCCUUUUGCUUUCCCA
RNAcentral lists this long non-coding RNA (613 nucleotides) under Sinocyclocheilus grahami. RNAcentral's name for it is "lncRNA (ENSSGRG00000041028.1)". The record is from RNAcentral. Lineage: Eukaryota; Metazoa; Chordata; Actinopteri; Cypriniformes; Cyprinidae.